Vicia faba (fava bean) is the source of this 276-nucleotide non-coding RNA. Lineage: Eukaryota; Viridiplantae; Streptophyta; Magnoliopsida; Fabales; Fabaceae. The record is from the annotation of a GenBank genome assembly.
AUGCCCCUCCAUGGUGGUUUAGGAAAUAUGGAAUGUUGUGAAUUGCCAAAUUUUCCAACUGCAUGUAUUGGUGAAGGUAGGGUUUUGAACGGAAUGAUAGUUAUGCCAAGAUUUGCCAUCCCUCCAAAAAUAUUAAUCACCCACUUUGAGGACUUGCCAUUGUGGAAACUACAUAUUCAAAUUUUAUGGAGAACUUUUUCAUUAACAAAUCAUAACGAUAUAAUUACUAGAUUAGAUUGGGUUAUACUUGCUGCGGAAUAUUUUGUACUAGAUUAG